UUUAUUUGCCCUAACUUUUGCCUGAGAUUUUUUAUUGAGGAUUCUCAGCGGGCCUUUUGUAUAUUUUUUCCUUUUGUUUUUUUAUGUUAUUUUGCACUUUGACCGAUGAACUUUUUUAUUUGAAUUGCUUAGGAUUUUUAACCCUCGGGUUAGAUUUGGAAAUAGUAGAGUGUAUUUAUUUCUUAACAAUUGAAUGUCAAGGAAAACAGUUGAGAUACUACCCUACCCAAGGUUAUUGAUAUUUUGC
Molecule: long non-coding RNA, 247 nt
Filed under: Lupinus angustifolius (narrow-leaved blue lupine)
Lineage: Eukaryota; Viridiplantae; Streptophyta; Magnoliopsida; Fabales; Fabaceae
Description: long non-coding RNA (LANG_LNC003416)
Source: RNAcentral